RNAcentral lists this ribosomal RNA (1407 nucleotides) under Triticum aestivum (bread wheat). RNAcentral's name for it is "partial small subunit ribosomal RNA". Lineage: Eukaryota; Viridiplantae; Streptophyta; Magnoliopsida; Poales; Poaceae. The record is from RNAcentral.
AUGGGGAGGCGAUCCGGAGGCAGGAAGCUGCCCUUCUUCUCCGCCGCCUCCUCCUCGUCCUCCACCAAGCGCACCCGCUCCGCGCGCCGCCUCCCUUCCCUGCCCAAGCCCAGCUCGCCGCCUCCCCCCUCCCCGACCACUCCGCCCCCCGCGCCGCAGACCACCACGUCUCCGCCUGCCCCCUCUCCCGGGGGUAGUGCCGCCGUGGCCGGCGUGUCCGGCAAGGUCGGCAAGAAGAAGGCCGGCGCCCGCUUGUGGAUGCGGCUGGACCGGUGGGGCUCCUCUGAGAUCCUGGAGCUCGACAAGGCCUCCAUCAUCCGCCGCGCGGGCGUGCCCCCGCGCGACCUCCGCAUCCUCGGCCCUGUCUUCUCCCACUCCUCAAACAUCCUCGCUAGAGAGAAGGCGAUGGUCAUCAACCUAGAAUUCAUCAGGGCGAUUGUUACUGCGGAGGAGGUCCUCCUAUUGGACCCUCUGAUGCAGGAGGUGCUCCCUUUCGUCGACCAAUUGAGGCAGCAUCUCCCUCUGAGGAGCCUGGUGGGUGGGAAUGGUGAACACGGCGGUGAUAGCAAUGGGGUCAAGCAGGAUGGUUCGCCCGGGGAUCAGGUGCCCUGUCUUAAUGAGGCCACCGGGGCAGAGCAUGAGUUGCCAUUCGAGUUCCAGGUGCUGGAGGUCGGGCUUGAGGCCGUGUGCUCCACGUUGGACUCCAGUGUGGCUGAUCUUGAGAGGCGCGCUAUUCCCGUGCUCGAUGAGCUCACCAAGAAUGUCAGCACUAAGAACUUGGAGCGUGUGCGGAGCCUCAAGAGUGACCUUACCCGUUUGCUUGCCCGCGUUCAGAAGGUCAGAGAUGAGAUAGAACAUCUUCUAGAUGAUAAUGAAGACAUGGCACAUCUUUAUCUUACAAGGAAGCAAGCACAGAAUCAGCAGGUUGAGGCUUUAAUGACGUCUGCUGCUUCCAAUAGCAUUGUUCCCGCAGGAGCAAGUCUGCCAAGGCUGAACUCCAGUUUUCGGCGCAGUGUGAGCAUUGCCACCAGUAUAUAUUUGGAUAACGAUGUGGAAGACCUCGAGAUGUUGCUUGAGGCCUACUUCAUGCAGCUGGAUGGAAUUCGCAACAGAAUUUUAUCGGUCCGAGAGUAUAUUGAUGACACAGAAGACUACGUCAACAUUCAACUCGACAAUCAGCGAAAUGAACUGAUCCAACUUCAGCUUACGCUGACCAUUGCAUCUUUCGGCAUAGCCGUCAAUACCUUCAUAGCUGGGGCAUUUGCGAUGAACAUUCCAUGCCAUUUUUAUGACAUCGCAGAUGGCAGCUUCUUUUGGCCAUUUGUCGGAGGUACAUCGUCAGGCUGCUUUGUGAUCUCCGUUGUUCUGUUAGGGUACGCCUGGUGGAAGAAGUUGCUCGGUCCCUGA